This 492-nucleotide ribosomal RNA is filed under the name uncultured bacterium. RNAcentral describes it as "partial 16S ribosomal RNA". It matches the Rfam family "Bacterial small subunit ribosomal RNA", at positions 29 to 507 of the family's 1533-position model. The record is from RNAcentral.
AGUGAACGCUGGCGGUAGGCCUAACACAUGCAAGUCGAACGGCAGCACAGUAAGAGCUUGCUCUUACGGGUGGCGAGUGGCGGACGGGUGAGGAAUACAUCGGAAUCUACUUUUUCGUGGGGGAUAACGUCGGGAAACUUACGCUAAUACCGCAUACGACCUACGGGUGAAAGCAGGGGAUCUUCGGACCUUGCGCGAUUGAAUGAGCCGAUGUCGGAUUAGCUAGUUGGCGGGGUAAAGGCCCACCAAGGCGACGAUCCGUAGCUGGUCUGAGAGGAUGAUCAGCCACACUGGAACUGAGACACGGUCCAGACUCCUACGGGAGGCAGCAGUGGGGAAUAUUGGACAAUGGGCGCAAGCCUGAUCCAGCCAUACCGCGUGGGUGAAGAAGGCCUUCGGGUUGUAAAGCCCUUUUGCUGGGAAAGAAAAGCAGCAGGUUAAUACCCCGCUGUUCUGACGGUACCCAAAGAAUAAGCACCGGCUAACUUCGUG